This 235-nucleotide unclassified non-coding RNA is filed under the name plant metagenome. RNAcentral's name for it is "partial contains small subunit ribosomal RNA, internal transcribed spacer 1, and 5.8S ribosomal RNA". The record is from RNAcentral.
UUUCCGUAGGUGAACCUGCGGAAGGAUCAUUAACGAGUAAGGGUCAUUCUGACCCGACCUCCAACCCUUUGUUUAUUUACUAUGUUGCUUUGGCGGGCACGUUUCCCGACCGCCGCAAGGCCCCGGACUUCUCGCCUGUGCUCGCCAAUAGCCUUCUACAAACUCUUUAUCAAUUGUGAUGUCUGAGCAAUAAAUUUAAUAGUUAAAACUUUCAACAACGGAUCUCUUGGUUCUG